CCGAGAAUAUUCCACAAUGGACGAAAGUCUGAUGGAGCGACGUCGCGUGAUCGAUGAAGUCCUUCGGGAUGUAAAGGUCUUUUAUGAAGGAGAAAUUUUAUUGAUAGUACUUCAUGAAUAAGGGGUUGCUAAACUCGUGCCAGCAGCAGCGGUAAUACGAGUACCCCAAGUGUUAUCCGGAAUUAUUGGGCGUAAAGGGUGCGUAGGCGGUCAUGUUAGUCUUCUGUUAAAUUUCCCGGCUCAACCGGGAACUCGCGGAGGAAACGGCAUGACUCGAGGAUGUGAGAGGUGUGUGGAACUCAUGGUGUAGGGGUGAAAUCCGUUGAUAUCAUGGGGAACACCAAAUGCGAAGGCAGCACACUGGCAUAUUCCUGACGCUGAGGCACGAAAGCGUGGGGAUCGAACGGG
Molecule: ribosomal RNA, 408 nt
Filed under: uncultured bacterium
Lineage: Bacteria
Description: bacterial SSU rRNA
Rfam family: Bacterial small subunit ribosomal RNA
Source: RNAcentral